CCUACGGGAGGCAGCAGUGGGGGAUAUUGCACAAUGGGGGGAACCCUGAUGCAGCGACGCCGCGUGGGUGAAGGAGUGCUUCGGCAUGUAAAGCCCUAUCGGCAGGGAAGAAGCAAGACGGUACCUGACUAAGAAGCCCCGGCUAACUACGUGCCAGCAGCCGCGGUAAUACGUAGGGGGCGAGCGUUAUCCGGAUUCACUGGGUGUAAAGGGAGCGUAGACGGCCAUGCAAGCCAGGGGUGAAAUCCGGGGGCUCAACCCCCGAACUGCAUUUGAAACUGUUGGUCUUGAGUAUCGGAGAGGCAGGCGGAAUUCCUAGUGUAGCGGUGAAAUGCGUAGAUAUUAGGAGGAACACCAGUGGCGAAGGCGGCCUACUGGACGACAACUGACGGUGGGGCGCGAAAGCGUGGGGAGCAAACAGGAUUAGAUACCCUAGUAGUC
Molecule: ribosomal RNA, 441 nt
Filed under: uncultured bacterium
Lineage: Bacteria
Description: partial 16S ribosomal RNA
Rfam family: Bacterial small subunit ribosomal RNA
Source: RNAcentral